RNAcentral lists this ribosomal RNA (301 nucleotides) under uncultured bacterium. RNAcentral describes it as "partial 16S ribosomal RNA". It matches the Rfam family "Bacterial small subunit ribosomal RNA", at positions 509 to 807 of the family's 1533-position model. The record is from RNAcentral.
CAGCCGCCGCGGGAAUACAGAGGGUGCGAGCGUUAAUCGGAUUUACUGGGCGUAAAGCGUGCGUAGGCGGCUUUUUAAGUCGGAUGUGAAAUCCCUGAGCUUAACUUAGGAAUUGCAUUCGAUACUGGAAAGCUAGAGUAUGGGAGAGGAUGGUAGAAUUCCAGGUGUAGCGGUGAAAUGCGUAGAGAUCUGGAGGAAUACCGAUGGCGAAGGCAGCCAUCUGGCCUAAUACUGACGCUGAGGUACGAAAGCAUGGGGAGCAAACAGGAUUAGAUACCCGCGUAGUCCCUGUCUCUUAUAC